RNAcentral lists this long non-coding RNA (9299 nucleotides) under Eucalyptus grandis. RNAcentral's name for it is "long non-coding RNA (EGRA_LNC001067)". The record is from RNAcentral. Lineage: Eukaryota; Viridiplantae; Streptophyta; Magnoliopsida; Myrtales; Myrtaceae.
UGUUUCGCUGCUGGUCCGCCUCAACCCGAAGACCAGCGAUCGAAGUCCCUUCUCCGAGCGCCAUCGCAUCUGAAAGCCCGCGCCGGCCCGCGAAGUCGCUGCUGUUUGCGACCCAGGAGGCCGACGCCAGCCCUCGCCACUCCAUCACCCCUCCAGACGCCGAUCAAGCUGCCGGACUCCACCACCAACGCCAGAGAAGCCGGUCCCGCUUGCCCUUGCUGCUCUGCCCCGACACCUGCAGCGCCUCCACUGGAGUCCGAUCCGCUCAGAUCCUCUGCCCAGAUUUGCUCGAGCACCAGCGGCACCCCCCUCCGAAUUGCCGGAGCUCCGCACCUCCGCAACCUCUGAUUGUGACACCCCUGUUCCGCCGGUUGUCCCUGCUGCUCGGGUGCCGCCCCGUUCCCGCCGGUCCGCCUUCGCCGGAGUUCCCGGUGACCAGCCGCACGAGCUGCCGAGCUUUUCUUUUGGAAACAAAGGAAAAAGAAAAACAAAAAUAAAAGAAAAAGAGAAAAGCAAAUUAGGUAGUUUGUUUUUCUUUAUUUUAUUAUUUAUUCAUUUUAAAUUUUGUUAUUAUUGUUUAAGUUAGAAUAUGAUUUGUCAAUAUUAACAUUUGUGCAUUUUGUAGGCAUUAUACUUGAGGAUUUUGUCCGAACUUAUUGUAAUUAUUAAUUUGAUCCGAGAGACAUCGGAUCAAUUUUUUUAAUUAUAUUAAGUUUCAGGCUUUUUGAUGGUAUUUUGGUUGUUAAAUCAAUGUAAUUAUUAAUUUGAUCCGUAAGAUUUCGGAUUAGAUUUUUAAUUAUUUUGAACUCUUUGUCGUGAUAAUUAGGUUUAAAAUAAUCAUUAAUUUGACCUGUGAGACAACGGGUUAUUUUUUUUCGAUUAUUUUAAUCAUUUAUUUAUUGAAUAUCUUGAUUGUUUAGAUUCAAUGUUUAGUCCAAUAAUUACUUGUUUUGGAAAAACACUAAAACACUAAAAAAAAAUCAAAAAUCAAAAAUCAAAAUCUUGCAUCAAAGCAUGUAGGUUUAAUAAAUCAGACAUGUAGGAUUAGGUUUAUGAAAUUUUCAUCAUCUAGUAAUUAUUGCUAAGUUCAUUUAGUUUAUAAUCGAUCAUAUUUCAUGUCAUCAUUGUUAGUGUAGGUUGCAUAUGUGUAAUAAAAAAAUCAUUAAAAAAUCAUAAAAAGAGUAUGCAUAUAGAAUUACUACGUCAUUCAUCCCAUAUCAUGUAGCAUAUGCAUAUUUAGGAUUAUAUAAAUUAGAUUGCAUACAUAUAGUGAUAAGUUUAAGUCAUAUCAUAUGAAUUGCAUCUCGCAUGUCAUUAAAGUAAAUCCAUGCAUAUUAAAUUUAGAUUAAGAUUGCAUAUAAUUAACAUUUUUUUAAAUAAAAAAAAAGAAAGAAAAUUUAUGUGUCUUGUCGUUUAGAAAUUAUGUUUAGGGCAUGCAUUUUUAUUAGCAUUUUUUAUUUGAAUGUUAUUUUAUUGAUUGCGCACCCGCAUGACCACCAUUUGCAUGUUAGUAACUUAGGUUUAAAUUAAUCAACAUUGCCUGCAAAAUAUUUUUUUUUUAAAUAAAAAUAAAAGGUACCGAAAGGGCGUUAGACUAAUCUAGCGUAACCAUGUCCCCGGACCUAUUGAAUCUCUGGUUCGUAAAAAUAAAGUAUUCUCUCAUACUUUAUUUGGGUUUCUAAUCAACCCUAAUUGAUUAGUGGCGGCUCCAAAUUGAAUAGAAUUGCAUGUUUAAAUAGAUUAAUUUCAAGUCGCGAUUGGUAGGACUUGGGAGGGUCCGAGCCAAGUCUUAGGACUUAGUAAUCCAUUAACCUAGACUUCUAGGAUUGCCCCUGAAGAUAUAGGUCGCGACAGCUUGGCGACUCCGCUGGGGACAGAGUUAAAACUCAUAGUGGACAUAGGCCUGUUUUAUUUUUUUAAGAAAAAUAUUUUUGUUUGGCAGCAUGGAAACAAGGUACGCUCCUAACAUGAAGUGUUAAAUGUUUUUGCAGAUGGGAGGUAUAAGGGGAGUAGUCUUUGCUAACCCUUGUGUUACAGGUUGGAGUUAAGGAUGGAUGGUUGAAUUUAAAUUAUAGAAGUGCCGUUUGCAAUUAAACUGUUGUGCAUGUUUUAUUGUUUUUAGCACUACACUAUUACACACACGACCUGCUGCCGGACCUGGGCUGCGAUAGGAUUCUUAGGAUGGUGUUGAGAAGGAUACUUCCUCUAAAGCGAGACUGCUAUAUAGAGGUUGACCUUCUCUUCCCCGAAAGUUCUUCAUGGUGUCGAAUGUCUUUGUCCAUAUCCGCGAGACUGCGUGAUAUUAGACAUUCCAUUCGACUGAGCCGGGGUUAGGAGGACCUGACACGUUAAUGCGAGACUGCAACGGUCAGAUCAUCCUCUUAGCUCCAUUUUGUUAAGCCAUCUAGAUAGAAAUCGAGCCUCACAUUUCAUGUGUGUGUCUAUGUGAUUGUCAUCCCUUCCCAGUGAAAGUAAGUUGUUUAAAUUCUCACUUUUGCAAUUUACUUACUUGCAUUUUUGUUGGUCCAUGACAAUAGGUUUCGUGGUCAAUCUUGUUUUAUGUGCAAUGGGGAAAACCAACGUACAAUUUAUUUCCUCUCCCAAAAAGAGCUCAAAAUGUGGUUGGACCAAUUAGAUCAAGGUGACUAGGCCUUACGUCCAGUGGUCCCUGAUGUGACUAAGAAGCCCAUUCAGCAGGCACUGAUUGAGCAUCUUGAGCAAAAAAUGGAAAUGAUUGAAGUCGAAAAUAAAAAGCUUCGCAAGACAUUGGGUUCCAGAAAGCAUAUAUAAAAUGUUUUGGUUUUUGUUUCUUAGUUCAAUGUUUAGGGACUUGAAUUUCAAUUCUUAGUUAGAAAAUUUUAUUCAAAUUCCAAAUAAAAUGAGGCGAUUAGACCGUUGUCAUGGACCAAUCUCAUUUGUUGUGAUACUUACUGCAUUAUUUUUACAUUGAUAGGUGACAACACGGCUAACCUAAGAUCACCAAUCCGUACUCGUUCCAGAGCAACAAUGGCUGAUAACACCGAACAAACACGUGUUGCUGAACAAACUCGCAUCGCUGCCCUCGAAUCGGAGAUGAAGCAAGUCCUAAAUGUUCUUGAGCAGCUCUCCAAGCAAAUUGAUUCUCUCCAGGCAAACACUGCCCCACUAGCUUCACAAGUUGAAGUGGUGUUACCACAACAGGCUCCUGCGACUGAUCCGAAAGAUAAAGGCAAGAAUACAUCCGCAGUUGGGCCAUCUACCUCUGAUGAUUCCUCCAAAGAGAAAAUUACUGACGUGCCUCAAAUUGUUGUUGAUGAGGAGGUACAAGUGAUACCCUCGGCUGUACCGAAGACGGAACAAGAAAAACGCAUGGUAAAAAUCGAGGAGAAACUCAAGCAACUGCAGGGUUCGUUUAUCCAAGGCCCAACUGAUUUGUCCCACUAUGCAAAGAUCAAGAUGCCAAAGAAGUUCAAAAUGCCAGACUUUGAAAAGUAUGAUGGCACCUCUUGCCCGAAGAUCCAUCUGCAGACUUAUGUGGUCAGGAUGACCCAAUAUGUUGAUAACAUCCCCUUGAUGAUUCAACAAUUUCAAGCAAGCCUGACAGGACCGGCGUUGCAAUGGUACAUCAUGAAGAAGAUUAAUCUGCUAGAGACUUGGGAGGAUUUGACGGAUGCUUUCUUCAAGCAAUAUAAGUAUAAUAUUGAUGUCACUCCAUCUCGAGAAGACUUACUUCGCACUGAGAAGAAGAGGACGGAAUCUUUCAAGGCAUAUGUCACGAGAUGGAGGACUGUAGCCGCUCAGAUAACUCCAGAGCCAACAGAAAAGGAGCUGAUGGAUUUGUUCAUGAAGACACUCCCGCCUGAGUAUCGAAAUCGAAUGCUGGGAUCGACUGCCGAGUCAUUCAAUCAGCUAAUCCCUGUUGGUGAGCGAAUUGAAGUAGCAUUGCGUGAUGGAUGGGCGUCUGAUCAAACCAGCUCAUAUGGAAGAGUCUCAAUCAAGAAGGAUAAGGAACUUGUAGCGGAGGUUAAUGCAGCUUAUAUGCAACCACCUCGCCCUACCCCGAACACCUAUCAGGGAGGAGCACGACCAUUCUUUGGGCAGCAGAAGAACUCUUCCAGGCGUCAAUUUACGCCUCUUCCUAAGCCAUUGUCCAAGAUCUUGCCAACCCUUCAGAAGAAAGGAUUACUUGCUAAAGAGCCUAAGCGACCUAAUCCCGAGCGAUUCCCCAACUAUGAUCCGUCCAAGACAUGUGCUUAUCAUAUGGGGGAGGUAGGGCAUUCUGUUGACGAUUGCCAUACGCUGCAACACAAAAUCCAAAAUCUUUUGGAUGCCAAUGUGGUCUCAUUCCGCGAUGCACAGCCGAACAUCCAGAAUAACCCACUCAUUGACCACCCAGAAGCUGUGAAUGCCAUUUUUAAUUUUGAUGCUGAGCCCACCAUGUUUCAGAUGAUGCAUAAGGAAGCAGAAGUGAUGGACACCCUGGGGCAACCAAGUGGCAAAUUCGAUUACUAUGUAAAGUAUUCAGCUCCUUCCAGCUCCUACCUCAACCCACAUGAUAUCAUCCCAGAUGGAUGGGGUGGCAUAGAUGAUCCCGCACACACUUGAAGGAAUGACUGAAUUGUUCAUUGACGAAGCUCGAGAGUAGGACACUCCUCUGCGCAGGAGUCUUUAUCGCUUUCCGUAUUUGCAUAUUUGCAUUUUCAAUUCUAGGAUUUCCCUCAUUUCAGUAAUGUAAUUUGUUUUUCAUCCAAUAAAAUACAUGGAGAUUUUCGUGUUUUAAGGGCAUGUUGAAGUACACCAAACUAGCCCUGUGAUGAAAUCCUACCAAAAAGAAAACGGCAAUGAGCUAAUUCUGAAGGCUGGGCUUCUUCAUGUUCCCUUGAAAAAAAUUUCAAAAUAAAAUAAUUUUCCAGCAUGCAUCUAAUUUACCAUGUUUGUUUCAUUUAAUUAUUUGCUUUAUGUUUCAGGUGCAGCUCUGCGCACAUUUAAGGAAUCUCUAUGAGCUCCCUUGCAAAGAGGGGCAAGACAUAGACACUUAACAUCUUUGACUUUAUCAUUUGAUGUGCAAGAAUAGAGCAUGGCAUUUUUAUCAUUUCAUAAUGUUUUCACAUGAUGUGCAAUUCACCAAUUCCACUUGAAAUUUAUCAAAAUGGAUAAUUCGGUGAAGGAUGUUGAGUUACUUGAACAUGCUAAAUGAUGCUAAAUGAGGCGUGAAAGGCAAGCCUAAUCCCAUACACAGUCCCCUGUCUAUACAUUGUGAGGUGAGUAUAGAAACAUUUUGUGUUUCAAGAUGAAGAGUUUUCUUGCAUGAAGUACGACAACUAAAAUGAUGAGGGGCAGUUCAUUUCUCUACAAUGAACCCUUGUUUAAUCCUUCUUUAAGCCUAAACACUUGAAGAACUUCUUUCAUACUACCCCUGUCAAGAACCACCCCACAUCGGGGCAAAUGGAGGUAAGUUGACAUUGAAGGAGAGUGAAAUGGAUGGAAAUUUUCUUGCUCUCACUUGCAUCAAUCUUCAAGUCAUGCUAUUACAUUGAAUUCAUAUGGUAAUUUAAGUGCCUUAGGAUGACGAAGAGCAUUUCUUUCACUAUCCUACACACUUAUAUCCUUUGCAUAGCCCACUUGAGCCUGCAAUUUCAUUUCUUUAAACCCAGUUGGUGAUCAUCCCCCACACUGGGGCAAGGCAAGAGACAGAUGAAGACCCUUGAGGGUUUUAGUGUCAUUUAAAGUAUACUUGACACACAUGUUGUGCGCAAGAACUGAAAUCAAAAUAGAACUAAGGGGCAUGAAAAAGCAGUGUGCCUGGUAAAAGCAAGGCCAAUGCCCAUGAAAAGAAAAGAGAAAUGACUGAUGAAUUUGGGGCAUAAUAAAAAGAGCAGUGUGCUUGAUCAAUGCCCAUCAUCAAAGAAAAUGAUUUUGAGAAAAGAUCUCCAGUUGAAUAAUCAUUGGCAUCAGUGAUAAACUCUUGAGCCAAUAAAGAAAUCUGUUAAGAAGACAAUCAGUGGCGAAGAAAACUAGUGGUAAUGUCAAGAUGAUCACCAACUCUUACCCAUUACACACAUCUUUGAGCGUAACGAUCUUUUCGUUUCUCAAACCCAAGAACCAAGCCUAUGUUACGUCCCUUACAAAGUCUCUUUAGAUUAGGGCACUUGAAUUAACAUAGGAAUUCAUAUGUUUUAAGCAUUGCUCGAAGAAGUGCGAGCAAGAUUAUUUCUUUCUCAUUUUGCAGGGUUCUUGACUUGUAAACCCGGAGAUGAUUACAUAAUUGUUCUUUCAAUAGCCUUGACUCAAAGAGUCUCUUUUGCUAAGCCAUGGACCAAGCCCACAUUACAGUACUUGUUAAAGACCUCUCAGAUUGGUAAGGUCGUACUGAUUGCAAGAAAAUUCAAACUCUUGUCGACAAGAUGAUGAUAAGAUUGAGUGAUAUAUUCCCGCAUCAAUGGUCGGGACAAAUAACCCCUCCUAAAUGAGAGCGAGUGAAAAAGCCUUUUCACACCAAAAGCGUCUCAUUUAGCAUGUUCAAGAGAUUCACACUAUAACUGAAAAUUGUCAUUGUGAUAAUUUUUCCAGUAGAAGCUUGAUAAAGCCAUCAUUGAAUUUUUCCUCAAAGACCAAAAAAUUGUCUUUGAAACCCUGAGUUUGUUCAGUCAUCUUGGUGCUUGAUGAGAAUUCCAAGUACCCAUUUAUAAAAUAUUUUCAAAUGCCUAGUGUGAACUUCAAAUAUUUGAACCCUUAAAUGCUUGAUGUGACUUCCAAGUGUUUGUCUUUCCAAAUGUCUGAUGUGACUUCCAGAUGUUUAGUAAAAUAUUUUCAAAUGUCUAGUGUGAACUCAAGAUAUUUGAACCUUUAAAAUGCUUGAUGUGACUUCCAAAUAUUUGUCUUUUCGAGCGUCUGAUGUGAUUUCCAGAUGUUUUGAAUUUUUGAGUACUUGAUGCAAUUUCCAGGUGCUUGGGAUUUGAUGAGAGUUCCAAAUCUCCCAAAGAUUUUUCUUCAGAUUCAGUUUAAUUUAGGCGACCGUAGAAUGGUACGGGUCCUAAAACAACAUUUAUUGCUCUAACAGGCGACCGUAGAAUGGUAUGGGUCCUGGAAAAGCAGUUUCCCCAUUCAGGCGACCGUAGAAUGGUACGGGUCCUGAAAAAAAUCAAUUCUCCGUCAAGGCGACCGUAGAGUGGUACGGGUCCUCGACAACACCUAUUCCCUAUUUUAGGCGACCGUAGAAUGGUACGGGUCCUAGAAAGUGAAUUCCGUCAAGGCGACCGUAGAAUGGUACGGGUUCUAGGCAAAACCCAUUUUCCUAUUCAGGCGACCGUAGAAUGGUAUGGGUCCUGGAAGGUAAAUCCCCGUUUAGGCGACCGUAGAAUGGUACGAGUUCUAGACACAACCAGACACUGUCAUACUGGGCGACCGUAGAAUGGUACGGGUCCUGGGAAAACAGUUUCUUUGUAAAGUUAUGUUACUAUUUUAGGCGACCGUAGAAUGGUACGGGUCCUAGACAUGUAACACCGACAGCCUAGAACUACUCUAUCCUUCUUGAAGGUAGGUUAUUCCAGGUGCUUGGGAUCUAAUGAGAGUUCCAGACUUUGAGCCUUUCAAUUAUCUGAAGAGAUUUCCAGAUGUUUGUUAAGUCUCAUAGGAAUCAUUUCACACCUAAUAAUACUUUUCUGAAUAUCCAGAUAAGUAUGACAGGUACGUGUUCUUCUUUGCAUUUUGCAUUUCAUUAAGCAUGGAGACAUAGAAAUAUAUGCUCUUGACAAAAUCAUUGCAUUUACAUUGCAUUAUUGCAUGACCUUGCAUUUCAAAAAGAAUUAAAUUUAUUUGAAAAAGAGGUUAUUAACAUUUGCAUAUACACCUUUACCAAAAAAAAAAAAAAAAACAUUUGCAUAUACAUUCCAUAUUCAUUUUGCAUUCAUUUUGCAUUUGCAUUUCAUUAAGCAUAGGCACAUUGAAAUAUAUGUUCUUGACCAAAUCAUUGCAUUUACAUGGCAUUUUUUAUUGCAUGACAUUGCAUUUAUUUGAGUCCAUUUCUUUUAUAAAAAAAAAGGGUUAUUACAAUUAGCAUUUGCAUAUUCAUUUUGCAUGGUUUAAAUUUAGGUGUCAUUUAUCUUUGAAGGAAACCUCUACGAGCUUCCCUUCAAAGAGGGGCAGCUGUUGACACCUAAUUUAGAUUCAAUUUUUAGAAAAUAAAAGAUUAGAGGGAAAUUUUGAAAAGAAAUUUUGAAUUCAAAAUAAUUCAACAGCCGGAUUUUGGAGCCAUUUCUUUGUUGGAGAAGUUGAGCGAAAAUCUCCACCGGCGAGAGGUUGAGCAAAAAUCUCCACCGGCGAAACAAACUCGAAUUUUCGCUUUAUAAAUAGGGGGGGCUUCUCUUCAUUUUUGGGGGAAGGAAAAAGAAAACACAAAAAAGGAAAAGUCAAGAGAAGCUUUCGCUUCUGCAGAGAGAAAGAGAAGAGAAAGGGAGAAAAGUUAAAAAGGCAGAAAGGGAGAAAAGUGAAAAAGGGCGCAGAAGGGAAAGAAGGUGAUUGGACAUUUACUGUUCAUCACCCUCUUCCCUCUGCUGGUUCCGUCUCAGCCCUCCUCUUGCCGGCUCCAUUUCUGUUUCAAUCCGGCGAUGCUCGAGUUCAAUACCGGAACCCGAUGGAAAGCCCUCUGAUCCGGCGGCCCGUGUUGCACUGACGCCGCCGAACGGCACGACGACCCGAGCGACCACCACGCCUUCGACCGCCCGCUUGCCGUCUCUGAAGUACCACCGCAGCUCGUCACCAGCAGAUCGGUGACCGCCUACAGCCCCCGCGACGCCGGAUUUCCUUGUUUCGCUGCUGGUCCGCCUCAACCCGAAGACCAGCGAUCGAAGUCCCUUCUCCGAGCGCCAUCGCAUCUGAAAGCCCGCGCCGGCCCGCGAAGUCGCUGCUGUUUGCGACCCAGGAGGCCGACGCCAGCCCUCGCCACUCCAUCACCCCUCCAGACGCCGAUCAAGCUGCCGGACUCCACCACCAACGCCAGAGAAGCCUGUCCCGCCUGCCCUUGCUGCUCUGCCCCGACACCUGCAGCGCCUCCACUGGAGUCCGAUCCGCUCAGAUCCUCUGCCCAGAUUUGCUCGAGCACCAGCGGCACCCCCCUCCGAAUUGCCGGAGCUCCGCACCUCCGCACCUCCGCAACCUCUGAUUGCGACACCCCUGUUCCGCCGGUUGUCCCUGCUGCUCGGGUGCCGCCCCGUUCCUGCCGGUCCGCCUUCGCCGGAGUUCCCGGUGACCAGCCGCACGAGCUGCCGAGCUUUUCUUUUGGAAACAAAGGAAAAAGAAAAACAAAAAUAAAAGAAAAAGAG